CAUUUUUCGAUUUUCCCCGACUUUCUCCGACGAUGCGAUGGCGAUAGCGAUGGUGAUUCCGGUGACUUAUGCUCCGACGAUUGACACGAUCAUUUGAGGCAGUCUCCUUUGUCCAGAUUUUCUUCUUCAACCUCUUUCUCUUGCUUACCCACCAAAUUCAUCAUCUUUGAAACUGCUUCAUCCCUUUCGCUUUGGUGAUUCUGAAGACUCCGCUUUAUACCCAUUUUGAUCUGUAAGUUUCGAUUUUCGAUCUCCUUUGUUAGUUUCCUGUCAUAUUUAGUUAGAAAUUGUUCCGAGCAUUGAAUUUUUGCGUACAUGAAUCUCGUUUUUAAUCUGUGUUUGUGUGAUCAAUUUGUGAAAUUUUGAAUUGGGUUUGUUUGCUCGAUGGUGUUUUAUUCAUUGGCUAAUUCCCCAACUGAUAACUUUCAAUUUCUGAGAUGGUGGUAGUUAUAAAACUAAGGCUAAAACACUAAUCUUUGCUCUUAAGUAGUGUUGGUUUGGAUUGAUUUUUGUUAGAAACAAUGAUUGGAGCAUAAGUUUUGUUACAUGUAGUUAUGGCACAUCGAACAAGGAGAUAUUAUCUUAUAGAAGAAUGCUUCCAAGUUAGUUGCUUUUGUGCUAUAUCUUGAGGACUUAAGGCUUAUGGUUAGUGUUCAUACUUUGUUUUCUUGUUUGGUCUAUAAUAGACACUACUGGUUGAAUUAGAAUCUGGAACCGACAUUAGUGUUUUUGUUGGCCAAUAUUUUGUUACUGCGAUGAAAUGAAAAAAUCACGAGCUGAUGAUGGCUAUGAUGAAGCUUAUUGGGUCUGAUGAUUUGGGUAUUAAUAAUAAACUCCUUAGAUUUAGUCAAACUAUGAUCCUACAGGACCUCCUCAUCUCUUAGCAACAAUGUAAUCUAUUACUAGGGAAGAACAAAAACAAUAAUCUAUUUUAUGGUGAUUGAUGCUUGAUUGGAACAAUUAGGCAAUGAUGCUUUCAGAUUUAGAAAGUCUUGAUUUUGGAUUUAGUCUUGGUGGACGUAAUAUGGUCGGCGUUAGGAGCAGUGGAGACUUUGAAUUUCAUGUGAUUAAAUUGUGAUUAUGCAACAUUUCCCUAUGCUCUUAAGACUGUGAUUAAACAAAACUUUACUAUAGUAGCGAAAAGCAACGGUCAGUUUCAUACAUGAUAGUUGAUGAUAACUGUGUGUGUGAAUGCAUGUAUAUUAAUAGCAUUCCGGUGAAUCAUAACUUCAUUCUACCACCAUUCAAGAUUUAGCAAAUACAGACACUAACUACGAAAUGAGAUUCAUUGGAUAUAACCAAAUUCCAAGCACUCCUAGUCCUCUUGGCUUUGGGACACUUUUAAGCUCUGUCAAUCUUUAUUUCUGUUUUGAACUGAACGUUUGUUGUCAUUGGCUGCAAAAGCUGUCAUUUGGCUAAUGAUCGAAUUGUGGAAACAAAGGAUAAUUAUAGAAUGGUUCAAAGAAGUUGGUUUCUUCUUGGUUUAAAUCUUGUUUCUUCAAUGUUCAAAUACUUUUGAUGUCUUUUAUUAAUUUUUAUGAAACAAUUUUUUUUUUCCUAAGAACCUAAUUAGAGAGACUAACCAUUGGACUAAGAAAACUUAAAAUAAAAAACACAAGUUCUCAUCUAACAAAAUUUCAAAUAAUUUAUACUAAAACAAUUGGUGAGAGCCCAUGGGGGACUCUCACCGUUGGAGAUGCUCUAAAGUUUCUUCUACGUUUGAAAUAAUACAUUCUGAUUUGUGGACUUCUCCUAUUCCUAGUCUAUCCGGAAUUCGUUACUAUGUUUUGUUUCUCGAUCAAUUCUCUCAUUUUCUAUGGAUUUAUCCUCUUCGCAAUAAGAGUGAUGUGUUCUCAAAAUUUCUGCAAUUUCAUACCUAUGUCAAAACACAAUUCGAGAAACACAUUAAAUCUCUACAGUGUGAUAAUGGUGGUGAGUAUAAAAACUCACAGUUUCAUGAUUUCUUUGCUAAACACGGGAUACAGUUUCGUUUUUCGUGUCCAUACACCUCUCAACAAAAUGGCAGAUUGGAACGCAUGAUACGAACCCAUCAACAAUGCUUUUUGCACUAUGCUGCUUCAAGCUCAUCUUCCCAAUACGUUUUGGGUAGAAGCUCUAAGGGCAUCUCCAAUAGUAAUCUCUAUAUUUUCCUCUAUUUAUAGAGAUGACUCUAUUUUAAAGACAUUGUGCUCCAAUGGUCACCUUUAAAAUAGAGUUUCCUCUGAAAUAGAGGAAAAAAUAGAGAUAUAUACUUUUUGUCUCUAUAAAUAGAGAUCUCUACAAUUCAUCUCUAUUUUUUCCUUUAUUUUUGAGGAAACUCUAUUUUAGAGGUGACCACUGGAGCACAAUGCGUCUAAAAUAGAGUUCCCUCUAAAAUAGAGAAAAAUAUAGAGGUGAUCAUUGGAGAUGGUCUAAAUAAUGCAGUUCACAUUCUCAAUCUCCUUCCAUCCACUUCUAUCGAUAACAAAAUUCAUUUCUCAGUGUUAUUCAACAAAACACCAUCUUACUCUCAUCUUAGAGUUUUUGGUUCUCUUUGUUAUCCUCACACAAAUAAUCAAAACAAACUUGAUCCAAGGUCAUCACCAUCAGCUUUCCUAAGUUAUCCUCUACUUGACUCAGGGUAUAGAUGUUUUGAUUUAAAAACACGGAAAAUUGUGAUAUCUCGUCAUGUCACAUUUUAAGAGGAUAUCUUCCCUUACCAAAUCACCAAUGCUAAAAUCGACUCUGCUUAUGACUUUCUUGAAGCGGAUACAGAGCCUUCUCAAAUUCAAAAGCAGCUUUUGCUUACACCUUCUCUUCCAGCGACAAAUGAAACAGAUCUAGUUUUGACUGCUCUUGCUCCUCAUGUAGCGACUCAACCACCACCACAGCGUAUGGUGACUAGAUCGCAGCAGGGCAUUCGUAAACCAAAGAAAAUUCUCUCACUAAAUGCUCAAACACUUUCCCAAAUUCCAAAGGGUUAUAAGCAAGCUCUAAUGGAUCCGAAUUGGAAUCCUUCAAUGACAGAAGAGUAUGAUGCUUUGAUUAAGACUUACACUUGGAGUUUAGUGCCUAAACCUGCAGGUACAAACAUCAUCAAUUCGAUUUGGUUGUACAAGCACAAGUUUAAUGCUGACGGCUCACUCUCUAGAUAGAAAUUCAGACUUGUCUCUAAUGGUAAAUUUUUGGAACAAGGAGUCAAUUUUGAUGAAACGUUUAGCCCAGUGGUUAAGCCUGCUACAAUUCGUGCAGUAUUGAACUUUGCGGUUGAACGACAUUGCCUGGUGCAUCAGUUGGAUGUACAAAACGCCUUUUUGCAUGGAGAGCUUGAAGAAACAGUUACAUGUAUCCACCAGCAGGGUUUGUUGACAAUAGGAAUCCGGGUUAUGUAUGCAAGCUAAAUAAGGCGUUGUAUGGCCUGAAACAAGCACCACGGGCUUGGAAUGCUCGGUUUGUAGCUUAUGUUAAAAGAUGGGUUUUGUGCAGAGUAAAUGUGAUGCUUCUCUAUUUGUGUACAAACACGGGCAAGACAAGGCCUACUUGUUGCUCUAUGUCGAUGACAUAAUGCUUACAACAUCCUCAUCCAGAUUCCUUGACUCCAUAGUCGACAAACUCAAAACGGAAUUCCCAAUGUUAGACACAGGGAAAUACACCUUCAUGCACUCUGACGUAUCUUCCGCUAUAUCAAGGGGUCUCCUUCUUAAGGUCUUAGUAUUACUAAGUCUCCAUCAACGAAAUUGGUCGCUUAUUCGGAUGCGGACUGGGCUGGGUGUCCAAACACGAGGCGUUCAACUUCAGGGUACUAUGAUUUCCUUGGUGAUACUCUAAUCUCUUGGUCGUCUAAGCGACAAGGCUCGGUUUCAAGAUCAAGUGCAGAAGCAGAAUAAAAGGCAGAGGCAAACGCGGUGGCAGAGACUUGUUGGAUACGGAACUUAUUGUUCGAGUUACAUUAUCCGUUAUCGCAGGCAAUGUUGGUGUUUUGUGACAAUGUGAGUGUCGUAUAUCUCUCUACCAAUCUUGUCAAGCAUCAGCGAACCAUGCAUGUUGAAAUAGACAUACACUUUGUGCGGGAGAAGGUCGCAAAAGGCGAGGUUCGUGUCAUUCACAUUCUUGCAACACAUCAAUACGCAUACAUUUUCACUAAGGGCCACAUUACUUCCCUGUUCAAUCAAUUCAAGUCAAGCCUUGACGUCAUUACAAGACCGAUGCUAAGACUGCGGGAGGGUAUCAGGAGAUAGGAUAUUCUUCUCAAUAUUCUUCUCAAUAUGUUUGUUAUAAGUUUAGUUACGACUUUGUUAAUAUCCUCAUGUACCUAGAAUGUAGGAAAGAUCUGUACUCUUGUAACUAAAUCGUGUAUAUAUUCACUCUAAUGCAAAGCUAUCUUCUCAAGGAGACUUACACAAUCUUACAGAAUCAGACAUCAAAAAUGAUGGUGGAUUUUUGAUAGAUGCUCCUUCUUUGCAGCUCUUGGAGAUUCAAGAAUAUCCAGAUGGGUUUUGUGGCAUUGAGCAUAGUAUGCCUAAGAUUGAAACCGCAAAUGUUUAUGUUACUCAUACUGAGCAGAUUCUUUCUUCUCUUACUUCAAUCAAGUAACUCGGAUUACGUUUAACGACAUCAAAGGUAAUUAUUAUUAGUUCUACUCUAUAUACUUAUUUAAGAAGAUUUUAUCAUUGUUAUAUUGGAUAAUAAACUCCCUUGACUGAAUUAUUAUGAGAGACACACAUAUAUAGAGAUAUAUAGAGAUACAAAGAGUUCUAGAAAGUUAUAUCUAAGGGUAUGUCAUGGCGUUAUUCCAAUGACUAUUCUUGGCCGCUUGAAUAUGCGAUAUUAGAGCGGGAGAAAUAGUGAUAUCAGUGUGAAGACAAAAAUGUUUUUUUGAUUUGAAGAUACAUUACUACGAUUUUGUAUAGUAUUAGUGGAAGUAGAAUUAGAAGUAGAAGUAUGAGAAGGAGGUACCAUAGGGCUUCUUUGUUAUCACGAAACAGAUUUUUGAUUGCAGACCAAAGGUCAUGAAUGGAGCACUUCGGUUUGAGGACGAUCUCAAGUAUGGACUCGGUAAUUGUCCCAUAGAUCCACAUUUUGACAAGAUCAUUGUGCUCUUUCCAAGAUUUUUCAGUUUCCGGCGUGGAGGAGGAAGUGUUGUCGAUGUGCCAAUAUAUUAGGGGCUGGUUUGGCUCGGUUCUCUUUAGUUACUCUUGGUAUAAUCAUCUACGAAUAUACUCUAACAGAUGCAUAUAUUCUUUGUAACUAGAAUUAGAUAGAUCUUCCUAGAUUCACGCUUUCGGUUGUACAUUGACUCUAUAUAUGUUGUAUGCUGUUCAUUGUGAUCAAUAACACGAAUCCAUUUGAUCUCUGAAAUCCUUUACAAGAACACCAAAACUGCUACUAUGCAUUUCAAAAAGCUCUCUCCAUG
RNAcentral lists this unclassified non-coding RNA (5392 nucleotides) under Arabidopsis thaliana (thale cress). Lineage: Eukaryota; Viridiplantae; Streptophyta; Magnoliopsida; Brassicales; Brassicaceae. The record is from RNAcentral.